CCGGGGGAAGUGUGUUACCCGGACACUGGCCCGACUACUUUCGUUCCGUCCUCCAUCGUUUUCUCCCGUGCAAUGGCGUCCGGGCUGGUAAGACUGCUGCAGCAGGGGCCUCGCUGCCUCCUGGCUCCAGUCGCCCCCAAGCUGGUCCCUCCGGUUCGGGGAGUGAAGAAGGGAUUCCGCGCCGCCUUCCGCUUCCAGAAGGAGUUAGAGCGGCAGCGCCUUCUGCGGUGCCCGCCGCCGCCCGUGCGCCGUUCAGAGAAGCCGAACUGGGAUUACCAUGCAGAAAUACAAGCUUUUGGACAUCGGUUACAGGAAAACUUUUCCUUAGAUCUUCUCAAAACUGCAUUUGUUAAUAGCUGCUAUAUUAAAAGCGAGGAGGCCAAACGCCAACAACUUGGGAUAGAGAAAGAAGCUGUUCUUCUGAAUCUUAAAAGUAAUCAAGAACUAUCCGAACAAGGGACAUCUUUUUCACAGACUUGCCUCACACAAUUUCUGGAAGACGAGUACCCAGACCUGCCCACUGAAGGCAUCAAAAAUCUUGUUGAGUUUCUCACUGGUGAGGAUGUUGUGUGUCAUGUGGCUAGAAACUUGGCUGUGGAGCAGUUAACACUGAGUGAGGAAUUCCCAGUGCCCCCAACUGUAUUACAGCAGACUUUCUUUGCAGUUAUUGGAGCCCUGUUACAGAGCAGUGGACCCGAGAGGACUGCACUUUUCAUCAGGGACUUCUUAAUUACUCAAAUGACUGGAAAAGAACUCUUUGAGAUGUGGAAGAUAAUAAAUCCCAUGGGGCUAUUGGUAGAAGAACUGAAGAAAAGGAAUAUUUCAGCUCCUGAAUCAAGACUUACUAGGCAGUCUGGUGGCACCACAGCUUUGCCUUUGUAUUUUGUUGGCUUAUACUGUGAUAAAAAGUUGAUUGCAGAAGGACCUGGGGAAACAGUAUUGGUUGCAGAAGAAGAGGCUGCUCGAGUGGCCCUUAGAAAACUUUAUGGAUUCACAGAAAAUAGACGGCCUUGGAACUAUUCCAAGCCCAAAGAAACCUUGAGAGCAGAAAAGAGCAUCACUGCCAGCUAGCCAGCCGUGGAUGCAGCAGCCUGAAACUUGAGAGCGAAAAGUCUCGCUCUGUUGCCCAAGCUGGAGUGCAGUGGCGUGAUCUCAGCUCACUGCAACUUUCGCCUCCUGAGUUCAAGCGAUUCCCCUGCCUCAGCCUCCCAAGUAGCUGGGACUACAGAGUUAACUUCAACUCCUAGUAAUGGAACACAAGGAUAGAGGACCAAAACCAGUGGUAAAAUGCCAUUUAUGUGUGUUACAAGUAAACAUGAUUUGAUACGCAUCUCAUUGGCACUGUAGGAGAAAAGAGAUUAUACGACAAACUUUUCUGGAAAGCAAAAGACAUGUCUUCUAACCACUUAUCCAGCAUGUGUGAGAUGGCAGAAUCUAGCUGUGGUAUGAUUCUAAUUUUUUUUAAGGUAAACAUUAAGAAAGUCUAGGGAAUUCAUUUGCAAACCUAGUAAUCCUUUUCUUCCCCCCCUCCCCCACUAAAUAGUGCUGAUUGCGCAUUCCCAAAUUUCUCCUGCUCAGGGGAGUUUGCAGGACCUUACCCUACAAGCUUGGAGGGGAACUAUCCUUUUAGGUUUUCAAGCUUUUAAACCUUGAAUGCUUCCAAAUUUACAUGUGGGACAAGUCUAGCUCUAGUUCAUAAAACUACUUUGCGAGUAGAGAUCCAUAUGCCUUAUGUAGAAUGUAAUUUCAACAUAUUUCUAAAUAAAGCCUUCUUUGAACUUAAAUUGUACUUUUUAAAAGCACCCUCUAAAAUAGGGUAGAAAUGUAGAAAAUUUAGAAAAAUUGACAUACGUUUUCAAUUGCAUAUCAAAUAUAGCUUGAAAUUUGGAACCAGUCUCUGAGUAGCUAUUUGUCCUAUGAGCCUAACUGCAUAAGUAUGAUAUGUGGGUAGAAGGAACAUGUGGGUACAAGAAUGUCAUCAAAUGAUGCAUGUGACCGAGAGCAUUCAGUGACCAUGUGAAGGACUAGCUCUUUGACUAAUACCUCGUCCAUGUUGCGAAGACAGUCAUAAGACUGGAAGGAAGCACUGACAUUUGAAUUUAGGUUCACACCAGAGAAAGACAUUAGUCAUUUACUUUGAAAUUCUGACUUUUUCCACCUUUUCCCACUGUCCAGUUUCCUGUGCCCAAAGUAUAAUUGUACCAAAAAAAUCCUCUAGCCAAAAAUGUAACAUUAAUGUCUACAGACUUAAUUACAUAACCCCUAUUCUUUUAAAUUCAUACUCUUUAUUAUAUGCAUAUGUAUAAUGAGGAAUAUUUUUCUCAAAAUGUUGUAUGUGGUCACAAGAAAGUAAACUAGAAACUAACACUAAACUCCAAGUUAAGAAUGGAACAAAUUGGAGCUUUUUGUGUUCAGAGCUGUACUGAUUUUGGCCACAAGAUGGUGCUGUAAUCCUAUUGCACAAUUUAGUAUGUGCAUUGGCCAUUAUGGGGAACCUAUUUUCUACCGAUACAGGAAAGAUGAUGUCUAUAUGGCACAGGAUUACCAUGAAAUAUGACUUUCCAAGGCCCCUUUCGGCUCUAAUAUUCCAUGAAUACUUCUUCAGGAGCCAGCUCACCUUGUUCUUCCCUUGCCUUUGGAUGUUGUAAGAAUUUGAUGUAUGAACAAUUCACCUGUGAUGUGAAGGUAUGGAUUUUUGAGCUCUUUUCUAUUCACCGGAAAGAAGGAAGAGUGCAGGGCUGCCAUAGAUAAAACUUUUAGAAGACCUUUUUGCAGGCCUCAUCUUGGUGUUUCUUUCUUCCUACUUCCUUUUGUUGAUAGGAGAAGAUGCACUGCGGAGGCAAGGGAAUCCUGUGUUCAUCGGGACAGUUCCUGAAGCCAGACGUAGACAUCAGGGUGGCCAGCUCAUAGCAUCCCUCAGCAGAGGGUUAUGCACUGAGGAUGCUCAGCUGCCGGCAUGCUGCCCAAGUUCUCCAUCCUAAGCCGACUUUGUUUUUCUUCCCCUCAGUUCAUCCCUGUUCCAUUUUCCCCAGCCUUAGUUUGCAAAGUCCCUCAACUAUUGUCCUCUGGGACCUAGAGUCUCUUAACUUUGGUUGGGUAUCAGAGCACUUACUUGAAAGCCAUGGUUCUCUCUGUAUAAUACCAAGAAUGAUUGCUAGAUCUAAUCCCAUCAUGCAAACUAAUAACAAUUUUUCCUGGAACUUAUGCAAUCAAAAAUCACAAUCACACAUGCUCCUGAAAAAAGAAAGCUGUUUUGCCAUUGGUGGUCUUUGUGCUUUCCAUGACUACUUAUUUGUUGUUCAUUUAUCUGCCUGCCUAUUAGUGUUUACUAACUACAGAAGACUAAUGGUUUAAGAAAACUUUCUGGGAGAAAAACAAUUAGGAAAAUUAAAAACAUUAACUUAUUCCUUCUUCGGUUGAGGAAGAACUACAUUAUUUGAUUAUUCAGAGGAGUUCAAGGAGUAUCUUUUCACCUGAGCUGUCCUGUAUUAAAAUUGCAAAUGAAGGCCUGGCACGGAGACUUAUGCUUGUAAUCUCAGCACUUGGGGAGGCCAAGGUAAGAGGAUUGCUUGAGCUCAGGAGUGAGACUAGCUGUGAAGCGUAGCAAGACCCUGUCCCUAUUUCAUUUUUCAAAUUUCAAAUGAACUCAGUUUGUUCUAUUCUGAUCCUCUUUUUUGCAGAAGACAUGAGUAAAGAGGUCAUUGACAGAGAAGGAUAUUUCCGAGAGGGGAAGAGUUUGACUUUCUGAUGAUGCUUCCUGUACAUAAACUAUUGAUGUCAGCAUCUUCACAUGAAGACAUAUCAGGAAACGAGUUUCCAUAAAUUUGAUCAUUUUGAAGUAAGACAAGGCCUACAGACCAUUGACUUAAAGAUAUCAAAAUGUAGUCCGGGCACGGUAGCUCACACCUGUUAUCCCAGCACUUUGGAAGGCCGAGGCAGGCAGAUCAUCUGAGGUCAGGAGUUCGAGACCAAUCUGGCCAACAUGGUGAAACCCCCGUCUCUACUAAAAAUACAAAAAUUAGCCAGGCACAGUGAUGUGUGCCUGUACUCCCAGCUACUGGGGAGGCUGAGGCACGAGAACUGCUUGAACCCGGGAAGCGGAGGUUGCAGUGAGUCGAUAUCAUGCCACUGCACGCCAGCCUGGGUGACAGAGCAAGACUCUGUCUCAAAAAAGAAAAAAAAAAGGAAAAAAGAAAAAAACAAAGUACACAUACAUAGUUGUGAACAGCAAAGCUCAGCCCACUUGACAAAUAAUAAUUCCAAAUGGCAAACUGAUGGAGUGCCAAAUGUCAGGUUUUAAUGUAAAGUUAAAGGCAAGUAGAACUCAAGGGCUAAAAAGAAAAAAAUGUUUUUAAGUUUUGAUAAAUGUUUUAAAGUUAAAUUCUGAUUUAGGUUAGACUGCAUAAAUCUUUAAGAAAUUAGUUUUUUAACAAGCAGGCAAAUGGUAACCUUAGAAUUAUGAUAUUUGUAGGCUGAAUGCCAGUGGCUCAUGCCUGUAAUCCCAACACUUUGUGGGGCUGAGGCAGGAGGAUCACUUGAGGUCAGGAGUUCAAGACCAGCCUGGGCAAGAUGGCGAGGCAUGUCUCUGUAAAAAGAAAAAGGAAAAAAAAGAAUUAUGACGUUUGAGUUCAACUUGGAAAGUUAGCUCGAAAAAAACAAAACAAAACAAAAAACCCUGUCAUUUCAAAAACACUCCUGCCUAUCACCAAAAACGAAACACUUCCUGUUCCCCCAGGAUUUCCAAAAUACAUGGUACCCAGCAACUUCAUUCUGCACUUGCUACAAAAUCCGUUUCUUUGCUGAGAAUUCUUAGCCAUUGCUGCAGUGAAUGUAGCUAAGAGUAGAACUAGGAUUACUAUAAUAGUUACUCUGUUGAAGUGAUCUAUAAAAUGAGACGUGUUGAAGCGGGGAAGCGUUUGAGUGUCAGGUCUAGAGGAAAAGGAUAGGAAAAGUCUCUGAGCUUUGAAUUUCCUGAUGUUUACAUAGUACAAAGUUUAUUAGAAGAGGCUGACGAAUGUUUAAAAGGCUCAGUUUCUUCUACUGUAUUUUCAAACAGCAGAGAAAUAGCUUUAUUUUUACUACUCAUAACAGUUUAUUUUUACUUUGUACAAAAUACAAAAAUGCAAAUCCAAGGAGUACAGACCAGUAGUGACAGGCACACUGCACAACAGCAACCUUGUCUAGCAAGACAGGAGUUUUUUAAAUUUUAUUUUAGUGAAUACAUGCAUUAUAUAAAACAACAACAACAACAACAAAAACACGAAGAGGCUAGAGAUUUCACCGUUUCUACCCCCAAGAUAACACUUGCUAUCAAGACUUUGGAGGGGGAUGGGGGAAAAGAAUUUAAAAGGCAAAUAAUUUUUUUUUCAUAAAAAGUAAAAGCUACCAUAAAACAUUUUUUUUCUGUCACACUGAUUAAAUUUCUUCUGAAAAGCCGCACAUAUAGACAAAACAAAACAAAAAUUCCUGAACUGGACAAACAGCAAAUACUCAAGAGGGUUGUUAACCUAGGUAAUAGUUCAGUAGUUUAAAGAAUCUU
This is an RNA transcript of Pongo pygmaeus (Bornean orangutan), 5539 nucleotides long. It is a transcript of the gene named mitochondrial ribosomal protein L44, with no coding region annotated. The record is from RefSeq and is a predicted model, not a curated record. Lineage: Eukaryota; Metazoa; Chordata; Mammalia; Primates; Hominidae. The transcript is spliced from 7 exons.